Anguilla anguilla (European eel) is the source of this 316-nucleotide long non-coding RNA. RefSeq lists it as uncharacterized. The transcript has 2 exons. NCBI's taxonomy places the organism in Eukaryota, Metazoa, Chordata, Actinopteri, Anguilliformes, Anguillidae. The record is from RefSeq and is a predicted model, not a curated record.
GAGAGAGGCGGUUUGCACAUCAAGAAUGAAGCACACGGAAGCAGGAUCUAUAUUUCAAAGGUCGAUCACAUGGGUGGCUCGCCAGUCCGCGCGCCGCUGUAGCUCUCCAGGGAAGGCAAGCAGGGCAGACGAAUCCAGGAUCCAGCACAGCAGUUCAAAUCCAACAAAAAAAAAACCCGGCCUUGCAACACAAAGCCAAAGACUCAUCAGUAGUCUGUACAUUCAGAUUAAGACAUAGUAUACACUGUGAACAUCUAAAUUGUAUAACACUUGUAACCUUCCAUUUACUCUGUGAAAUAAACUUGGAUAAAGCUUA